RNAcentral lists this ribosomal RNA (253 nucleotides) under uncultured bacterium. RNAcentral's name for it is "partial 16S ribosomal RNA". It matches the Rfam family "Bacterial small subunit ribosomal RNA", at positions 524 to 776 of the family's 1533-position model. The record is from RNAcentral.
UACGGGGGGGGCAAGCGUUGUUCGGAAUUACUGGGCGUAAAGGGCCCGUAGGCGGCCAACUAAGUCGGAUGUGAAAUCCCCAGGCUCAACUUGGGAACUGCAUCCGAUACUGGAUGGCUUGAAUUCGGGAGAGGGAUGCAGAAUUCCAGGUGUAGCGGUGAAAUGCGUAGAUAUCUGGAGGAAUACCGGUGGCGAAGGCGGCAUCCUGGACCGACACUGACGCUGAGGCGCGAAAGCUAGGGGAGCAAACGGG